UGCAUUCACUACUGUAAGUUGCUCUGGAUAAGAGUGUCUGCUAAAUGACUAUAA
Non-coding RNA from Salmo salar (Atlantic salmon), 54 nucleotides. The record is from Rfam. Lineage: Eukaryota; Metazoa; Chordata; Actinopteri; Salmoniformes; Salmonidae.